GUGCCAGCCGCCGCGGUAAGACGUAGGGGGCGAGCGUUGUCCGGAUUCACUGGGCGUAAAGAGCGCGUAGGCGGCCUGUUAAGUCAGGAGUGAAAUCUCCAGGGCUCAACCCGGAAAUUGCUUCUGAUACUGGCAGGCUAGAGGGUCAGAGAGGUGAUUGGAAUUCCCGGUGUAGCGGUGACAUGCAUUGAUAUCGGGAGGAACACCCGUGGCGAAGGCGGAUCACUGGCUGACUCCUGACGCUGAGGCGCGAAAGCGUGGGGAGCGAACAGGAUUAGAUACCCUGGUAGUCCACGCCCUAAACGAUGGGUACUAGUCGUCGGAGGUAUCCACCCCUUCGGUGACGAAGCAAACGCAUUAAGUACCCCGCCUGGGGAGUACGGCCGCAAGGUUGAAACUUAAAUGAAUUGACGGGG
RNAcentral lists this ribosomal RNA (416 nucleotides) under uncultured prokaryote. RNAcentral's name for it is "bacterial SSU rRNA". It matches the Rfam family "Bacterial small subunit ribosomal RNA", at positions 505 to 918 of the family's 1533-position model. The record is from RNAcentral.